CAACACUAGACCCCCAGGCCUUUCCUGAGGAAGAGAGGCAGGCUGGCCUUGAAAGUAAAAAGUCAUUUUCCCAGGAGUUCUCUCCAUUUGAGCCAACCCAAGAGGAAGGAUGAAGCCUCAGCGUGGAGGAAGAUGUGGCUGAAAACCUCGAGACUGGAUAGUUUGUCAGACAGAAACGAGGGAGAGAAGUGCCUCAGCUGCAGAGAGCCAGAGAGGGUGGUGUGCCGGGCGGCCGGAAGUGUGCAGCCAGAGGCCAGGGCAGAGAGGAGAGGCCGGAUCUGAGGGGGCUGGUGAAGGCGCUCUCCUGAGAAGGCCCAGCACGUGGCUCAGUCAGCACAGCUUCUGAAAGGAGUCUCUCUGCUCGGGGAAAUCACGAUCUUCACGAGGGCAGAGGGAAUGUUGCAUGUAUCCCAGAAUCCACUGCCUCACUCCCAACACAUGACGCACCCCCUGUCAAGGCCGAAACUAAGCCGACAUCAGGAAGCCUUGCGGCAUCCCCCAAGGGCGUCAUCCACCCCCUCCCUACAGCCCUCUGUAUUAAGGUGUGAGCUGUCUCUCCUAGUCCAAGGCAGCCGGCCAGGUUCCAGCUGGGAGGCAGAGCUGGGCCAGCACCGCACAGCUGAACAGGGCUCAAGGCCGCUCCAGGAAGACAUCCCGGCCUUCCUGCCUUUGAGACACUAAGGCAAACAGGGACGAUGAAUACGUAGCGGCUGAAAAACAAGUGGCCAGACCAUACUUGCCCCCACUUGUUGGAGCAGGCCAGCCUGGUUACACAUGAAACUUAGAGCUGCUUUCUCAGCGGCACGUUUUGUUUUUGUAACUUUUUACUUUGAUAUAAUCUCA
Molecule: long non-coding RNA, 843 nt
Filed under: Equus caballus (horse)
Lineage: Eukaryota; Metazoa; Chordata; Mammalia; Perissodactyla; Equidae
Description: lncRNA (ENSECAG00000043535.2)
Source: RNAcentral